RNAcentral lists this ribosomal RNA (458 nucleotides) under uncultured bacterium. Its description in RNAcentral is "partial 16S ribosomal RNA". It matches the Rfam family "Bacterial small subunit ribosomal RNA", at positions 338 to 795 of the family's 1533-position model. The record is from RNAcentral.
CCUACGGGAGGCAGCAGUGAGGAAUAUUGGUCAAUGGGCGAGAGCCUGAACCAGCCAAGUCGCGUGAGGGAGUACUGCACUAUGGGUUGUAAACCUCUGUUGUCGGGGAGCAAAAGCCGGACGUGUACGGCUGUGAGAGUACCCGAAGAAAAAGCAUCGGCUAAAGCCGUGCGAGCAGCAGCGGUAAUACGGAGGAUGCGAGCGUUAGACGGAUUUAUUGGGUUUAAAGGGUGCGCAGACGGAUUUUUAAGUCAGCGGUCAAAUCGUGGGGCUCAACCCCAUCGAGCAGUUGAAACUGGGGAUCUAGAGUGUGCGAGAGGUAUGCGGAAUGCGUUGUGUAGCGGUAAAAUGCAUAGAGAUCACUCAGAACCCCGAUUGCGAAGGCGGCAUACCGGUGCACAACUGACGCUCAGGCACGAAAGCGUGGGUAUCGAACAGGAUUAGAUACCCCUGUAGUC